Molecule: ribosomal RNA, 492 nt
Filed under: uncultured bacterium
Lineage: Bacteria
Description: partial 16S ribosomal RNA
Rfam family: Bacterial small subunit ribosomal RNA
Source: RNAcentral
AGUGAACGCUGGCGGUAGGCCUAACACAUGCCAGUCGAACGGCAGCACAGUAAGAGCUUGCUCUUACGGGUGGCGAGUGGCGGACGGGUGAGGAAUACAUCGGAAUCUACUUUUUCGUGGGGGUUCACGUAGCGAAACUUACUCUAAUACCGCAGACGCUCUACGGUUGAAAGCAUGGGAUCUUCGCACCUGUCGCGAAUGAAUGAGCCGCUGUCGGAUUAGAUAGUUGGCGGGGUAAUGGCCCACCAAGGCGAGGAUCCGUAGCUGGUCUGAGAGAAUGAUAGGCGACAUGGGAACGUAGACGCCGUCCAGAGUCCUGCGGGAGGCCGCAGUGGCGAAUAGUGGACAAUAGGCGGAAGUCUGAUCCAGCGAUAGCGCGUGGGUGAAGGAGACCUUCGGGGCGUAAAGCCGUUUUGCGGGGAAAGAAAAGCAGCAGGUUAAUACGCCGCUGUUCUGACGGUAACCAAUGAAGAAGCACCGGCUAACUUCGUG